This is a long non-coding RNA of Egretta garzetta (little egret), 5121 nucleotides long. RefSeq lists it as uncharacterized. The transcript is spliced from 2 exons. Lineage: Eukaryota; Metazoa; Chordata; Aves; Pelecaniformes; Ardeidae. The record is from RefSeq and is a predicted model, not a curated record.
AGGCACUUAGUAUCACCAGUGCCAAAGGAAAACUCAUGGCCUGGAAAUCCUAGCCCUGAUGUUGAUCUGUUAAUGGAAGCCCCCUUGCCUGAAGGGGCAAAAAGGAUAUUUAUAUGGACUGAGCUUCAGCCUCCAGACAUGGAGGGUGCUCUUUCUGCAGAGUCUCUAGGUCACUGAAGAGGCGCCCCUGGAACAUGUCCUCUCUGCUGACUCCAAUCUCCCCGAGUACCUCAGUGUGUGGUCCUAAAGCCUGGUAGUGCGAGUGCCCCUUUUUUUUUAAGAAUCUGGACAAUGAUAUAAAAUUCCUCAAGUCUCACAUGCUUCUGCGUACUCUGUUUUCAGGAUGCUUUCUUGCAAAGAUAACUUCUCAUGGGGAGAGAGCCAUCCUUGUUGCUGGGUGGAACCCCCUCCCCCCAAAAAACUGGAAACAAACUAGAUAGUGCUGCAAGCAUGCAAAUGAAUUGGGCCAGAGAUAAUUUAAUUUCUACCCUGUUUCAAUGGUUUUAAAUGCUUGUAGUGAUACAGAUGUUAAGUUUCAGAAUAUUUUGUGGUUGGUCAUAUGUCACUUUUGGUCCAGUCAGCGUUAGAACUUGAGGCAGAGAAAGGUGAUGCCAACUGUCUAGAGAUAAGUGAUGGGAGAAAUAGGAGAAAAAGCCAGGUUUUCUCACUUUAUUAGAUUUUGUUGUCCUGUUGGAUUAGAUAUCAAAACUGAACUCCAGGAUCAUGGUGAGGAAUGCGGGGGUUUCCCAUCGAAGUGGAGGAGUGGCUGCAGAGCUGGGAAUCUUCAGGCUCCGCAUGGACGUGAGCAGCUGGGUGCACCCCACCGUUCAAAAUGCAAAUAGACCUCUGUGAUGGGUAGAGUUCAGUGCGGUGGCUGCGCUUCAGUAGCUGCUUGAGUGGCUCACUGUGCUCUGCUGAGACCCAGUGGCAUGCAUGUUUUCAGACAGUCUUAUCUUUUCCAAUAUCUCUUAAUGAUUUCCCUCCCUUGCUCUCUCCUGCCCUCCUGAAUGGUCUGUUUGGGGUUGCCACCUCCACCCCCAGGCUUUACUGUAGCAAUAUUGUACUUGCAGAGGUGACCUCUGUUGAGCAGAAAUGGGCUUGCUGGCAUUUUGUCAAGCCAUGCUUGAGACCUUCAGUUUGCUGUAUUUUAAACUGGGUAGACCUUUGAGGCUGGCUCAGACUGUAGAACUGGGCAGUUGCCCUUGUACGUGUUUGGAUGAUGGGAUUACACAGUAGUGGUCUGUUCUUGGGGGGAACAGACUCUGGUUUAUCUCACAUAAGGCACUUGAAGGAGAGAAAAGAACCUCAGUCAUAACAGACCUUCAGACUUCCUGCUGUUGACUUUUCAUAGAAUCAUAGAAUGUUUUGGGUUGGAAGGGGCCCCUAGAGGUCAUCUAGUCCAACAGUCAUGUGGGAUCUUCUGUGCUGCUAGUGAGUGUAGGAAGCAGUUAAUUUUGCUGCUUAGCUCUUUUCAGUGGACUACCAUGUUAAUUUUGGGUAUCUUUGGGUAUUACAUUUUCAGUAUUCAUAGUUAAUCAAACUAGUGACUUAAUUAUGGGUUUGGUAAUACCCAGCUUCUAAGUACUGGGUCGCAAUCCCUCAGUACAACUGGGUGUCAUGUGAUGGACAUUCCUAAGGAAGCAGAAGCUAGUUGGCAAUGUUGGCUUGAGCACAGCAAUGAGGGUGGUGCUCACCCUCUUCACCAAACACUUUAUUCUUGGUAAUUCCUCCAGCGUUCUCCUUUGUACAGUCAAGCCAGCCAGGGGGAAUUGCUAGUGCUCUCCUUGGGUGUUCUGGGAUUGCUGUAAAAAUGUGAGUCCAUUUGUUUGGUCCCCUCAUCAGUGCUGCUGGUGUUAGUCCAAGGUGAUUAAAUUACCAAAGAAUAGUUAAGAGGUGUUUGUUCCUAGUCUCAGUUGUUCAUUUUCCACAUAGAUCCAUUUUUAAGAUUCCUUGCAGGAGUGCCCAGUGAUCUUACUAGACUUAGUCUGUCCACACAGGUUACACUCACAUUGUGGGUGAUUUGUGACUCCCUUAAUGACAGGGACUCCUGAACUUCAUUAUGGGGAUAUAUUUGCUGCCUCCAUUUCAGGUCUUUGGCAGCUUUUUGUAUCUUAAGGAUUAAGAUGCUUAGGUAUUAGUUAUUCUCCAGAAUUUCAUCCUCUCCCUUCACCUGAGUGCUUGCUUUGUAUAUAGCUUGCAGCUGCAGAGUUAACAGACUAAAGUAGUGAUCCAGCCAUGUGGAGUGGUGGUUUGGUGUCUUAAUUUCUGCCCUUCAGCUGAGAGGUGCUUACUGACCUUGUCAACUGAUGUCCCUUACCUGGUGCCGAUGUGAAGUAAAGCAGGCUUGCUGAGACCCUGCAUGGUCAUCUCUUCUGAUUGUUAGCAAGAAGGGAAGAACAGAUGGGUUGUUGGUUGCUGCACCUCAGCAAAGCAGCCGUAUCUCUCAGCAGCCAUGUGGGAGCUCUCGGAUCUGUUUCUGGUGGUCUCAUACCCUUAUUUUUCCAUAAAUGCACUUUUCCAAGGUGUCUGAGAGGUUCUUAAUUAGCUUCUGUCACAAUUGCUGCUAUGACAAAACUAUUGAACUGGGGUGCAGCUCUUGCAGAGCUGUGCGUGAUGCGGAUGGAGCUGAUCUCUGCCUGGACUCCCAUGCUGGCCAGGCGCACGCUUAAACCAAGUGAAAAUCCCCAUGUGCACCACUGGCCACCCCACAGCCAGAGCCUGUGGUGUGACCUCAAUUUAAAGUGCAUUUCUGAGUGUUGCAGUGCCUUCAGUAACUUAAUGGAAAGUUUCUGAAGCACAGACACCAGGAAUUUGUCCACAUUGCAGACAAGGCAAAGUGGAAAGGAGAACAUAGCCACAUCUUGUUUGAGGGGAUGCCCUGUGUCUGCUCUGCCUUGCCUCUGCAAGCGGGCGCUUUGGUGUGUGGUGAGCGUGGGCAGGGGGGCACGAGAGGAAAGGUGAAAGCCCAACAGUGUUUGGUAUUGUUCUCAGGACUUCUGAGGAAUUUAAAACGGGGGAUACUUAUUCAUUGCUCAGGAGGUUCUUGUGAAAGGGCUUAAUUAGAAACAUUUUCAGAGAGAUCAAGUAGGUAUGCCUCUCAUUCUUCUUUCUCCAUGUUAAUUUUCAAGGAUUUAAAUUAGGAUGUGUCUUUUUGCUUGUGAUGCUGGGUUUCUUUAUCAAAACCAUGUGGUACUUGGCUAAUUAAAUUAAUGCUCUUGAGUGCCAUUUUCUAACAGCCUUUCCCUCUAAUAUCCUGCUGGGAGCGGUAUGGUCUAAGAAAUUGCACACAAAUCUAAGACAGGGUUGGCAGAGUUGAGAGGACCUGGACUGCCUGACCACUUCUGUACCCAAACAACCAGCAAGUAAAACACUUGAUUGUAUACAAAUUCGGGUCAUUGGACUGAAACCGAGAGGGUGUGUAAAAAAAAAAACCCUUGCAACAUAGUGCAAUGUCUCUGUAGUCCUAGAUGUUGGUUCUCUGACAUCAGAACAAAGAUCUAGGAGUCAAUAUGUUGUUUUCUUAGGAACUGCUUUUCUAGAUGCCCUUAUUAAAAGGGAAAAAUUCAGGUGCUGAAUCUUAAAAUCUCAUUAAACUUGUACUUUUUAUUUGCCCAUUCACCUGGUCUCCUUUCCUUUUCAAGGCCUCCCACUGUCUCAGGGUAUAUAAAUCACUAUGACUCAUCCAAAUACUACCGAAAUGGACCAACCAGAGGUUAAUGUGUGCCUUCCUCUUCUGGUACCUUGAUCUUUGUAAAGUUAUCUCACAAACUCGUCACUGUCUUAGGGCUGGGUACACGCAUUGUCUUUUUCUAAAUGUACAUGUUGAAGUUGUAACAGGUUUGUACUGUUACUCGUGACUUGUUCCAUUUGUUUUGGGAUGUGGUGCAGACACGAAUCAAUGCACUGGUUUGUCUUGGGUUCAGUCUUACCUGUGACAUCUGUCAGUGCUUGCUUGUAUGUUAAUGUGUAGACAAACGCUGGAUCUUCCCCAUUGCCUAUGAUGUACGUGUACAUGAUGCACAAACUACACAAGGCAUUUUAAAAUGUUGCCUGAGGGUAGGAUGUCUUACAGUGAACUGUUUUUAAUGCUUUUUUUCCAAAUAUAUUUAAUAAGAUCCAAAGCCUUGGAAAGAAAAAAAAAAAAAAACCAGAACAGGACUUGCUGAUACUUGCUGACUUCUGUUCUGAAUGCAGGGUCUGAAGUUUGGUAACAACUCUUGCAAUUUAACAGAACCUUUCUCAGCUUCCUGUUUCUGUUGUGAGUGGGGUCAGGAACAGCACUGCAUGCUGAACUAUCGCAGGAGCUGUCAAGUGAGGUAGUAACAGCUCUCUUUAAAUGUUGCAGACCGCCUUUUUAACUGUAAGGUAAAUCUGAUCAAAAUUACUGAUGCAGCUUGCAAAUGGAGCAGCGGGAACUGCAGAGAGCCUGUGACACCGGCCUGCUGCACAUGGGGCUCAGUGUUCAGAGUUACCUUGUAGAUUGUUUCUCCUCUCUGAAAAGUGGUUGGUUUUUUUUCCAAUACAAAGACAUUACACGUUUGGCUUUGUUUUCUGAGUUGGCAAAGGAUAUCUUUGUUCUUAAAUCUCAAACUGACAUCUGGAAUUUGGGCUGUUUCUGCUUCUUUACGCAGAUAGCAGAGGAUGGUGUGAUUGAAACAGGAUGUCCUUUCCCAGCUGUAAGGUUAAUUUGAUCAUAAGAGCAUGGAAACAGGAACGCUUCUUCACUUGCCCUGGGCUUUAAUGGGCACGCAUGUCCAUAAUUAACUGAAGCACAGUACUGCAUUCUGUUGAUCCAUGAGGCUACCUUUGUUUUUAGAAUCAGCACUCUUAGUCAGCGUAUUGACACUCAUACACAGUUAAGGAGCUCUCAUGUGUGUGUAUUUCCUGUGAUAGCUGUUCUCUCUGUACCCCAGUACAGACUUCAUCUGGAGUUCUAAUUUUAGCUCUUGCUAACUUCAGAGUUUCUUCAAAUUCAGUAAGGUCCUGUUUUUAUCAAUUUUCAGAGCAGCACAGAUUGGUUUAACUUUGCACUUUCCUCUUCUCCCAUUUCUUCCUAGUUCACCUUUAACAAUCAGUUCAAAGCUGCUUGCCUAGUCUGAAAAAUACGGAGUCAUAAUAAAA